This 85-nucleotide transfer RNA is filed under the name Ruminococcus sp. RNAcentral describes it as "tRNA-Leu". It matches the Rfam family "tRNA". Rfam says of the family: Transfer RNA (tRNA) molecules are approximately 80 nucleotides in length. Their secondary structure includes four short double-helical elements and three loops (D, anti-codon, and T loops). Lineage: Bacteria; Bacillati; Bacillota; Clostridia; Eubacteriales; Oscillospiraceae. The record is from RNAcentral.
GCACCUGUGGCGAAAUUGGCAUACGCGAUAGAUUUAGGUUCUAUUUUCGAGAGAAGUGCAGGUUCAAGUCCUGUCAGGUGCACCA